This 440-nucleotide ribosomal RNA is filed under the name uncultured bacterium. Its description in RNAcentral is "bacterial SSU rRNA". It matches the Rfam family "Bacterial small subunit ribosomal RNA", at positions 339 to 796 of the family's 1533-position model. The record is from RNAcentral.
CUACGGGAGGCAGCAGUGGGGAAUAUUGGACAAUGGGCGCAAGCCUGAUCCAGCCAUGCCGCGUGGAUGAUGAAGGCCUUAGGGUUGUAAAGUCCUUUUAACGGGGAAGAUAAUGACGGUACCCGUAGAAUAAGCCCCGGCUAACUUCGUGCCAGCAGCCGCGGUAAUACGAAGGGGGCUAGCGUUGCUCGGAAUCACUGGGCGUAAAGCGCACGUAGGCGGAUCUUUAAGUCAGGGGUGAAAUCCCGGGGCUCAACCUCGGGACUGCCUUUGAUACUGGGGAUCUCGAGUUCGGGAGAGGUGAGUGGAACUGCGAGUGUAGAGGUGAAAUUCGUAGAUAUUCGCAAGAACACCAGUGGCGAAGGCGGCUCACUGGCCCGAUACUGACGCUGAGGUGCGAAAGCGUGGGGAGCAAACAGGAUUAGAAACCCUAGUAGUCC